UACGAAGGAGGCAAGCGUUAUCCGGAAUUAUUGGGCGUAAAGCGUCCGCAGGCGGUUAGUCAAGUCUGUUGUUAAAGCGUGAGGCUCAACCUCAUACCGGCAAUGGAAACUGACAGACUAGAGUGCAGUAGGGGUAGCGGGAACUCCCGGUGUAGCGGUGAAAUGCGUAGAUAUCGGGAAGAACACCAGAGGCGAAGGCGCGCUACUGGGCUGUAACUGACGCUCAUGGACGAAAGCUAGGGGAGCGAAAGGG
Molecule: ribosomal RNA, 253 nt
Filed under: uncultured bacterium
Lineage: Bacteria
Description: partial 16S ribosomal RNA
Rfam family: Bacterial small subunit ribosomal RNA
Source: RNAcentral